Molecule: long non-coding RNA, 3345 nt
Filed under: Cucumis sativus (cucumber)
Lineage: Eukaryota; Viridiplantae; Streptophyta; Magnoliopsida; Cucurbitales; Cucurbitaceae
Description: long non-coding RNA (CSAT_LNC001868)
Source: RNAcentral
UGCUCUACAAAAAUGCUAUGAAAAAAGUUGAAUAUUUUCAAUAACAUUGACUUACGACAGCAUGUACAAAAUGCUACAAAAACAAUUUUAUAGCGUUUUCUUAAUAUAAUUAAAAAUGCUAUUGAAAAGUUUUGAUAGCGCUUUUUCAUCCCAAAAAAAUGCUACCAAACCCUUUUAAUAGCGUUUUCUUUCACGCUAUGAAAAGUCUUUAUAGCAACAAAUAUGCUUUAUCACAACAAACUUUUUAUAACAUUUUUAUAGCAUUGUAAAAACGCUGUGGAAAAAUUAUAGACUUUCAAUAACAUGGACUAGACAACAUUUUGAAAACGCUAUCAACAGUCUACGAUAACAUUUUUUAUGCUAACGUAACUAAAAUUUCCUUAGUGUUUAAAUAAGGUUUCUAAAACGAAAAUAUUGAAAAACUGGUACAUAGGUGCGGAAGCAAAACUGAGUCCCCAUAUUGCAUCUAACAGACACUUCCACUAAGUCGCCAGCUUUUCAGAUCCUCUACCUUUUGCUUGAAGUAUUAAACAUAGAAAAGAGUAAGUAUAUAAAAUAUACCUAGUAAGGGACCCACUAUUAGUUCGCUAAGUGAUCUGUUAACUUUUCGUUAGAAACAUAAUAAUAGUGUAGUGUGUUCAAUGGAGCAUACUAAGGCGAUUGACAUUGUAAAAAACACCCCGAAUCGUGUGAGCAAUCCUGUGAACACCCCUAGUUGUGCGAGUGAUCGUCGAUAUACACGAAGUGAGAUAGUACAAACACCCCUAAUCAUGCAAGUGACCCAUAUGAAUACCCCUAGUUGUGUGAGUGAUCGUAGGUACACACUUCUAAACAUGUCUAUGAUAUGUAGCUACACCCCUAAUCAUGUGAGUGGUCCCUUCAGAACAUUCCUAGUUGUGCAACUGACCCCGUAUACACAAUACAACUAUCCCCUAACCAUGUGCGAGUGAUCGUAGAUACACACUGAGUGUGACCAUACAAACAACCCUAAUCAUGAGAGUGACCCAUAGGAAUACCCUUAGUCGUGCGAGUGAUCUUAGAUACACACUUCUAAACAUGUCUAUGAUACGUAGCUAUAUCCCUAAUCAUGCGAGUGGUCCCUUUAGAACAUCCCUAGUUGUGCGAGUGACCCCGUAUCACAGUACAACUAUCACCUAACCGUUCAUUUGAUUCGUAGGAACACCCCUAAAUCGUGUGAGUGGUCUCGUAGAAACACCCUUAGUCGUGCGCAUGACCCCAUAGAUAGUAUCACAAACAGGUGUAGUCAAAGAUCAACAGAUAAAGUUAACAGACACACCACAAUCCAAAGCAUGUUGCAUAUCAUAAAUAUCACAUCCUUAUCAUGUGAUUAAUAUAUCAUGCGUCAUAACAUAUCAGUCAUCAACAUCAACACAUUAUGCAUCUUAGCUACAUCAAUGCAUAAGGAAAAAUACAUGCAAGCUCUUAAUUUUAUGUUUGAAGGUCCAGUAGUAGAAUCUCUUACCUGAGAAAUUAGCUAACAAAUAAUCCCUAGCUGACAGUAAAAAUUCUCUAAUGAAUUCAAUCCUUAGUUAUGUUACGUUCUUUGCUGCAAAUGAAACCACAAUUCCACCUAAAUUUGGAGGUUGAAAAAUUCUCUUAACCUUGAUGGAAAAAUUCAUCACUGAGGUUGAUGAGAACAAAAUUUUAGCAUAGGCCACCGUGUCGUGGGUUGCCUUCAAUGGUAACAUCAACCAGAUUUCUUUAGUCAUGGCUAAGGAUUCAUGUUUCUUUGCCAAAACAUCAGACAUGUUGGCAAGAAUGUAGACACGAGCCUUUUCAUUAACUUUUACCAACCAAUCAUAUGCUUUCCAAAUAGUUCGAUUAGCAUUUGAGAUUGGGGUUUGAGAAAUCUUAAAUCAUCAAUUAGAAGUAUUGUAUUCAAUUGAGAUUUCCAUGCCGCAUAAUUAUUGUUGUUAAGUUUCUCGGAAGCUAAAAGUUGAACUAUAGAGCUAUUCAUGUUGAAAAGAUGAACAUAUUCAUUUAGAAACUAAGAUUAAGUUUGCACUAGAUAUCUAUAAACGAAAUAGUCGAUUUUAUUCAACGGUGUUAUAACCUAAAAGUGACUAUUUCAUGGUUACAGUCUUAUGUAAACUCUUUACAUAGGAUGUCUCCACUUCCAUGUCUACACAUGAAUAAUUUAGAAUCACAUCGUUUGUACGAACUACAAACCAAACCGCAUCCACAGUGUCCCUAGAAUAAGGUGUCCAACCAUAUUCGUAUACUAUAGACUAUUUAGGAUAUAUAUUUGAACUUGAUCCACGUUUAUGUCUCUACAUAAAGUUUGAGUUUACUCAAUAAUAGCUUCGGGUCCUUAGUUUAUUGACUUUAAGAUUACAAUAUCAAUAACGAUUUUAUUGAAUAGAAUAUGAUUACAAACCUACGAGUUUUAUUACAUAAAUUUCAACACCAACCUCAACUUUGCUUUACCCAACUAUCAUAGAAACUCAUAUUUCUUGUUGUGUGAUUUUGAAGAUUUUUAUUACCUUAUGUCUUUGACCUUUGUUAUAGCCUUAUCUGUGUUUUCAACAAAGGAUAUGUUCUUCAAGCAUUGUUGGUGUGUAGAGUGAAUUUUUCUUUUGAGAAAUACCUUAGUGUGAUGUGUGGUGUGUUGAACAUCUUGUUAUUGACAUCAUUGAUUCACUUGAUUGAGACGAUUUGUGAAAGUUAAGGGAGCUUAACAUUGAAAAGUUAUUUUAAGGAGUACCUCUGAGGGGAGCCUAAACAAAGAGACGCAAGGGUAAAGUAUAAACCAUAUGAUCUAGGGGGAGCUUAGGUUGAAUUCUUUGUUCACACAUCAAGUGGUUUAUGGGGAGCCUAAACAAUUAUCUUAUAGUUGUGUAAUACAAGAUAGUUAAUUCUUGAUAAGUUAUGUAUUUGUGAACUCUUUUGAAUUUCAGUAAAUGAUCUUUUCAGUCGAGCUUAAGAUUCUUUAGAUGGAGGGGAUUACACCAAACUGAGUUAUCAUCUUGAUUGUGUUCUAUCUUUUCUGGUUGCUUAUGCUAUUUACUUUGUGUUUGGAGCAAACAUAAUUCUUCAUGUUAUAACAUUGUGUUUUUCAGGUAUCAUAGCUCUUAGAAGCUUCAAAUAAGUAUUCGAUCAAUUAGAAAAAAAUCUAACCCCAAUUGUGAAGAUUGAAUUAGAAACGUGACAAACACUUUAUAAAAAAUGUAUAUAAAGGGUCAAUCGAUUUUAGACAAUAAAUGGGAAACACAGCAGGAGGACAAAUGUAUAUCAGCUAUUAUAAUUUUGAUUGAAGUGGAGGAAUGUGAAUUUGGGUUAUGGAUACCUUGUUGAAAAUUCAAAGAACCUUGGGGUAUGCCGCCG